This 254-nucleotide ribosomal RNA is filed under the name uncultured bacterium. RNAcentral's name for it is "partial 16S ribosomal RNA". It matches the Rfam family "Bacterial small subunit ribosomal RNA", at positions 524 to 777 of the family's 1533-position model. The record is from RNAcentral.
UACGAAGGGGGCUAGCGUUGCUCGGAAUCACUGGGCUUAAAGGGCGCGUAGGCGGGCCGGCAAGUCAGGGGUGAAAUCCCACGGCUCAACCGUGGAAGUGCCUUUGAUACUGCCGGCCUCGAGGGAGGUAGGGGCGUGCGGAACUUCCGGUGGAGCGGUGAAAUGCGUAGAUAUCGGAAGGAACACCGGUGGCGAAAGCGGCGCGCUGGACCUCUUCUGACGCUGAGGCGCGAAAGCCAGGGGAGCAAAGCGGG